Molecule: long non-coding RNA, 1945 nt
Filed under: Triticum aestivum (bread wheat)
Lineage: Eukaryota; Viridiplantae; Streptophyta; Magnoliopsida; Poales; Poaceae
Description: long non-coding RNA (TAES_LNC023580)
Source: RNAcentral
CACAUCGUCCAUGACCGCGGGCCGCGCAACAUCGUCCAGGGUUGAAUCGGCAACAUGACAGAUGACAUCCGAUUUGUUAUUAGUGCAGUUUACCUGUCAUAAAUUCAGAGAAACAUCAAUUAGAUCACAGGGCUGUGUUGUAAAUGAACAGGAACCGGUGCACUAAACAUCUGUAAAAUUAGGCCUGCUCAUGAGAGCUCAGCAAUAAUACAUAAAAUCUUCCCAGUACCAAUAUGUAACAACGACAUCAAUAUUAAUCAAAAAAAUAUUCAUAGCUAAGUGUUCCAAACUGAAAAUUGAGACAACCCAAUACUGCACAAGGAACCAGAGGAGGAGACAUGGAGCAUCUACCAGUGGUGGCCAACAAAUCUAACCAGGUCUCUUCGCGCACCUCUCCAGGGUCUCCGGCAGCGACAAGCUCGAACUGCCCCCACUUUCGUCUUCGUCGCCCCCGCCUGCUCUGGAGUCUCACAGUCCAGCUCGUAGUUGGUGACGAGAUCGAAGUGCGUCUUGUUGAGCUCGAGCACGAGCACAAGCCCCUCGCCCUAGUCAAGCUCAUACACGUCACGGGUGUUCUGGGACCCGCCAAGCAUACGAACGGCGGGGCGUACCCACUAACGCCAUACUCGUCAGAGAUGAGUCGGGCGAUGGGGGAAUCGACCCCACCAAGACGAGCGGGGUCGUUGAAGCAAGCGAGGGCGAGGGAAUCAAUUUCCUACUUUGUGUUGUUCUCCCUCCAGACUCCACUUGCUAACACCACCAAUGGAGUAGUGCUUUCAUCGUCUUUGACUCGUCGUGGUAUGUAGUCACGGAAGAUUCUUUUAUUGUUUUCUCAUAAGUAAUUUCUGCUCUUUUGCUCAUGGCAGCAGUCUUGAUUAGUUUUCACCCGCAGCAUUUCAUCAGACGUAAAUAUAAGGGUAUGCCCGAACAUUGCUUGUCAGAUUAUCCAUUCCUUUCCUCUCAUCCGAGAUGCAUCAAGAAAGUGAGCCAAAACUGGGAACUAAAGGUGCAUAUAGUGAAUUCGUAAUGCACAUAGAUAGACAUAUAAAAUGUGGCAAACUAACCAUGAGGAACUCUUUGCCUCUUAGAAAUGAAAUAACAACUUGGUUCAGGUAGAAAAUGAAAUACUCCCUCUGUCCUAAAAUAAGUGUCACGGAUUUAGUACAAUUUUAGUGCAAAGGUGUACUAAGUUAACGGCACUUAUUUUCGAACAAAGGUAGUAGUAAGUUACCUGAGAUAAUGUACGUAUGAUUUAAUGAUUAAAUGACCUGACAAAAGGGCUCCCUCUGUAUUAAUCAUUCUGCAGAAAAAACAAAAUUAUGAGUUCCUUGCUCUGAAGCACCUAACUGCAGUUUUGUAGUAAAUGUCUGAAAAGUAAAAUCAUGCUAAAAUACAUGAUAUAUGUCAGCAAAUACAAACUUUCUUUCAUUUAUAUGUUUAGUAGAACUAAAUCAACAUAUAUAAAUGGCAGGCAUUACAUCCAUCAGAGUCCAAGGCUCUUUUUGGUGUCUUCAAAUGCUGCACCCACUACUACCGGUUGGCUGGAACAAUUGCUGAUUUUUAAUGACUCCCUCCAUCUUAAUCUUUCAGUAUAACUACAAUUGAUUAAGAGCUCCUAGCUGUGAAGAACCUAACUGCAGUUUUUUUAAUAAAUGUCUGAAAAGUAAAAUCAUACUAAAAUGGAUGAUAUAUGUUGCAAAUAUGAAGUAUAAAAAGAAAGUUAAUAAUAUACCAUACAGUAAUAUGAGUAAACUCUGCAGAUCUGAACAUGCAGGCUUUAGCAUCAGGGAUUAUAGCUUUGGCAGUGAGUUUCUCCUUCCAGCACACAGACAUUGCCUUGUUUCUCUUUGUACAGACCUCAACAUGAGAAUCUUGUGAACUUAUUUCCAUUACCUUGGGAUGGUGAAAUCUUUAUGAUACAAAGUUGAUGCAUGUAUUAGUUAAC